Long non-coding RNA from Sphaeramia orbicularis (orbiculate cardinalfish), 167 nucleotides. RefSeq lists it as uncharacterized. NCBI's taxonomy places the organism in Eukaryota, Metazoa, Chordata, Actinopteri, Kurtiformes, Apogonidae. The record is from RefSeq and is a predicted model, not a curated record. The transcript is spliced from 3 exons.
AGGGCACAGAAAUGAAUGAAAAGAACAUUGGUUCAGCUGUUAAGCAUAGGGAUGGAUCCAUCAUGCUUUGGGGUUAUAUUGCAGCCAGUGGCACAGGGAACAUUUCACAGGAGAAUGGAUUCAAUUGAAUUCCAACAAAUUCUGGAGGCAAACAUAACCCCAUCUGU